GAUGAAGAACGCAGCGAACGUGCGAAACGUAAUGUGAAUUGCAGAAUUCAGUGAAUCAUCGAAUCUUUGAACGCAUCUUGCGCUCCUUGGUAUUCCGAGGAGCAUGCCUGUUUGAGUGUCGUGAAUACUCUCAACUUCAACCCUUUUUUCGGAAAGGGAGGAAGGUUGGACUUGGGUGUUUGUUGAAGUGCGAGGUUCGACUCAUCCUAAAUGCAUUAGCGAUCUGCCUCGAUCACACACAAUGUGAUAAUUAAAACUAAAGCAUUGUUUAAUGAUCAAGUCGAGACUGCUUCUAACUGUCGCAAGACAAUAACGUGCAUACAUUUGUGCAUGUCAUUUGACCUCAAAUCAGGUAGGACUACCCGCUGAACUUAAGCAUAUCAAUAAGCGGAGGA
Molecule: unclassified non-coding RNA, 395 nt
Filed under: soil metagenome
Description: partial contains 5.8S ribosomal RNA, internal transcribed spacer 2, and large subunit ribosomal RNA
Rfam family: 5.8S ribosomal RNA (bases 1-121)
Source: RNAcentral